RNAcentral lists this ribosomal RNA (468 nucleotides) under uncultured bacterium. RNAcentral's name for it is "partial 16S ribosomal RNA". It matches the Rfam family "Bacterial small subunit ribosomal RNA", at positions 28 to 507 of the family's 1533-position model. The record is from RNAcentral.
GACGAACGCUGGCGGCGUGCUUAACACAUGCAAGUCGAACGGAAAGGCCCUGCUUUUGUGGGGUGCUCGAGUGGCGAACGGGUGAGUAACACGUGAGUAACCUGCCCUUGACUUUGGGAUAACUUCAGGAAACUGGGGCUAAUACCGGAUAGGAGCUCCUGCUGCAUGGUGGGGGUUGGAAAGUUUCGGCGGUUGGGGAUGGACUCGCGGCUUAUCAGCUUGUUGGUGGGGUCGUGGCUUACCAAGGCUUUGACGGGUAGCCGGCCUGAGAGGGUGACCGGCCACAUUGGGACUGAGACACGGCCCAGACUCCUACGGGAGGCAGCAGUGGGGAAUAUUGCACAAUGGGCGGAAGCCUGAUGCAGCAACGCCGCGUGCGGGAUGACGGCCUUCGGGUUGUAAACCGCUUUCGCCUGUGACGAAGCGUGAGUGACGGUAAUGGGUAAAGAAGCACCGGCUAACUACGUG